CCGAGUUUACAACUCCCAAACCCCUGUGAACAUACCUACUAUGUUGCCUCGGCGGAUCAGCCCGCGCCCCGUAAAACGGGACGGCCCGCCGCAGGAUCCCUAAACUCUGUUUCUAUAUGUAACUUCUGAGUAAAAACCAUAAUAAAUCA
RNAcentral lists this unclassified non-coding RNA (149 nucleotides) under soil metagenome. RNAcentral describes it as "partial internal transcribed spacer 1". The record is from RNAcentral.